Patiria miniata (bat star) is the source of this 367-nucleotide long non-coding RNA. RefSeq lists it as uncharacterized. The transcript has 3 exons. The record is from RefSeq and is a predicted model, not a curated record. Lineage: Eukaryota; Metazoa; Echinodermata; Asteroidea; Valvatida; Asterinidae.
GACGAGGAAAGCAAACAAAACGGGGCGGCAUCAACCGAGGAAAAGAAACUGAAAAAGGAACAAGUUGGCGAUCAAGACAAACCUCAGCUAAUCAGUCGCAGAUAUGUGCAAGUCUUCAUCCAAAGUCGUCGUUCACAAAAACCAAAGAUAAUGUGUUUGCAAGUGGAUCCAGAGACACCUGUCUUGAUCUUAAAAGUGAUAAUAAGUGAGAAAAUUGGUGUGCAGCCUCAACAACAGCGACUGUUCAUCCGAAGAAACUUUCGUAACUUUGAGCUGCAUAAUUUGCUGACACUUCACGACUGUGGAAUUCAUCAGGACGAGAACAUCUCACUCCGUCUGUGCACUGAUGGCCUACUGGGUGGUGGAC